AACGUAGGGGGCGAGCGUUGUCCGGGAUUAUUGGGCGUAAAGCGCGCGCAGGCGGUUCUUUAAGUCGGAUGUGAAAGCCCACGGCUCAACCGUGGAGGGUCAUUGGAAACUCGGGAACUUGAGUGCAGAAGAGGAAAGUGGAAUUCCACGUGUAGCGGUGAAAUGCGUAGAGAUGUGGAGGAACACCAGUGGCGAAGGCGACUUUCUGGUCUGUAACUGACACUGAGGCGCGAAAGCGUGGGGAGCGAACAGG
This 253-nucleotide unclassified non-coding RNA is filed under the name uncultured Bacillaceae bacterium. Its description in RNAcentral is "contains 16S-23S intergenic spacer region". It matches the Rfam family "Bacterial small subunit ribosomal RNA", at positions 524 to 776 of the family's 1533-position model. Lineage: Bacteria; Bacillati; Bacillota; Bacilli; Caryophanales; Bacillaceae. The record is from RNAcentral.